GGGCGCUUAGCUCAGCGGUAGAGCGGCCGCCUUACAAGCGGUAGGUCGGCGGUUCGAUCCCGUCAGCGCCCACCA
Molecule: transfer RNA, 75 nt
Filed under: Trueperaceae bacterium
Lineage: Bacteria; Thermotogati; Deinococcota; Deinococci; Trueperales; Trueperaceae
Also listed under: 1 other name
Description: tRNA-Val
Rfam family: tRNA
About the family: Transfer RNA (tRNA) molecules are approximately 80 nucleotides in length. Their secondary structure includes four short double-helical elements and three loops (D, anti-codon, and T loops).
Source: RNAcentral